GGCACAGUGGUGCAGUGGUUAGCACUGUCGCCUCACAGCAAAAAUGUUGUGGGUUCGAACCUGGCCUGGGGCC
Gymnothorax javanicus (giant moray) is the source of this 73-nucleotide non-coding RNA. The record is from the annotation of a GenBank genome assembly. Lineage: Eukaryota; Metazoa; Chordata; Actinopteri; Anguilliformes; Muraenidae.